CGGUUCUUGAUAUAUUAUCAAUUUCCAUGAUAUAAUCAGAAAAUUUAUUGUGUAUGUUUAUAACAUGAAUUUUAAGAUAAGAGACAAAAAGUACAAGGUGCUAAUUGCCAGACCUCGAUAUUUAACCACACACGCUGGGAUGGAUUGAUAACAAUGUAUGCUAGAGUUAUCAGUCCUUGAAAUAAAUUUAUUGACAAGAUUGGAUUACCUCCCUUAAACCGGACUAAUUCUUGGCAAUGA
Molecule: long non-coding RNA, 240 nt
Filed under: Mytilus galloprovincialis (Mediterranean mussel)
Lineage: Eukaryota; Metazoa; Mollusca; Bivalvia; Mytilida; Mytilidae
Source: RNAcentral